AGCGUACACGGUGGAUGCCCUGGCAGUCAGAGGCGAUGAAGGACGUGCUAAUCUGCGAUAAGCGUCGGUAAGGUGAUAUGAACCGUUAUAACCGGCGAUUUCCGAAUGGGGAAACCCAGUGUGUUUCGACACACUAUCAUUAACUGAAUCCAUAGGUUAAUGAGGCGAACCGGGGGAACUGAAACAUCUAAGUACCCCGAGGAAAAGAAAUCAACCGAGAUUCCCCCAGUAGCGGCGAGCGAACGGGGAGGAGCCCAGAGCCUGAAUCAGUGUGUGUGUUAGUGGAAGCGUCUGGAAAGGCGCGCGAUACAGGGUGACAGCCCCGUACACAAAAAUGCACAUGCUGUGAGCUCGAUGAGUAGGGCGGGACACGUGGUAUCCUGUCUGAAUAUGGGGGGACCAUCCUCCAAGGCUAAAUACUCCUGACUGACCGAUAGUGAACCAGUACCGUGAGGGAAAGGCGAAAAGAACCCCGGCGAGGGGAGUGAAAAAGAACCUGAAACCGUGUACGUACAAGCAGUGGGAGCACGCUUAGGCGUGUGACUGCGUACCUUUUGUAUAAUGGGUCAGCGACUUAUAUUCUGUAGCAAGGUUAACCGAAUAGGGGAGCCGAAGGGAAACCGAGUCUUAACUGGGCGUUAAGUUGCAGGGUAUAGACCCGAAACCCGGUGAUCUAGCCAUGGGCAGGUUGAAGGUUGGGUAACACUAACUGGAGGACCGAACCGACUAAUGUUGAAAAAUUAGCGGAUGACUUGUGGCUGGGGGUGAAAGGCCAAUCAAACCGGGAGAUAGCUGGUUCUCCCCGAAAGCUAUUUAGGUAGCGCCUCGUGAAUUCAUCUCCGGGGGUAGAGCACUGUUUCGGCAAGGGGGUCAUCCCGACUUACCAACCCGAUGCAAACUGCGAAUACCGGAGAAUGUUAUCACGGGAGACACACGGCGGGUGCUAACGUCCGUCGUGAAGAGGGAAACAACCCAGACCGCCAGCUAAGGUCCCAAAGUCAUGGUUAAGUGGGAAACGAUGUGGGAAGGCCCAGACAGCCAGGAUGUUGGCUUAGAAGCAGCCAUCAUUUAAAGAAAGCGUAAUAGCUCACUGGUCGAGUCGGCCUGCGCGGAAGAUGUAACGGGGCUAAACCAUGCACCGAAGCUGCGGCAGCGACGCUGAUGCGUUGUUGGGUAGGGGAGCGUUCUGUAAGCCUGUGAAGGUGUGCUGUGAGGCAUGCUGGAGGUAUCAGAAGUGCGAAUGCUGACAUAAGUAACGAUAAAGCGGGUGAAAAGCCCGCUCGCCGGAAGACCAAGGGUUCCUGUCCAACGUUAAUCGGGGCAGGGUGAGUCGACCCCUAAGGCGAGGCCGAAAGGCGUAGUCGAUGGGAAACAGGUUAAUAUUCCUGUACUUGGUGUUACUGCGAAGGGGGGACGGAGAAGGCUAUGUUGGCCGGGCGACGGUUGUCCCGGUUUAAGCGUGUAGGCUGGUUUUCCAGGCAAAUCCGGAAAAUCAAGGCUGAGGCGUGAUGACGAGGCACUACGGUGCUGAAGCAACAAAUGCCCUGCUUCCAGGAAAAGCCUCUAAGCAUCAGGUAACAUCAAAUCGUACCCCAAACCGACACAGGUGGUCAGGUAGAGAAUACCAAGGCGCUUGAGAGAACUCGGGUGAAGGAACUAGGCAAAAUGGUGCCGUAACUUCGGGAGAAGGCACGCUGAUAUGUAGGUGAAGUCCCUCGCGGAUGGAGCUGAAAUCAGUCGAAGAUACCAGCUGGCUGCAACUGUUUAUUAAAAACACAGCACUGUGCAAACACGAAAGUGGACGUAUACGGUGUGACGCCUGCCCGGUGCCGGAAGGUUAAUUGAUGGGGUCAGCGCAAGCGAAGCUCUUGAUCGAAGCCCCGGUAAACGGCGGCCGUAACUAUAACGGUCCUAAGGUAGCGAAAUUCCUUGUCGGGUAAGUUCCGACCUGCACGAAUGGCGUAAUGAUGGCCAGGCUGUCUCCACCCGAGACUCAGUGAAAUUGAACUCGCUGUGAAGAUGCAGUGUACCCGCGGCAAGACGGAAAGACCCCGUGAACCUUUACUAUAGCUUGACACUGAACAUUGAGCCUUGAUGUGUAGGAUAGGUGGGAGGCUUAGAAGUGUGGACGCCAGUCUGCAUGGAGCCGACCUUGAAAUACCACCCUUUAAUGUUUGAUGUUCUAACGUUGACCCGUAAUCCGGGUUGCGGACAGUGUCUGGUGGGUAGUUUGACUGGGGCGGUCUCCUCCUAAAGAGUAACGGAGGAGCACGAAGGUUGGCUAAUCCUGGUCGGACAUCAGGAGGUUAGUGCAAUGGCAUAAGCCAGCUUGACUGCGAGCGUGACGGCGCGAGCAGGUGCGAAAGCAGGUCAUAGUGAUCCGGUGGUUCUGAAUGGAAGGGCCAUCGCUCAACGGAUAAAAGGUACUCCGGGGAUAACAGGCUGAUACCGCCCAAGAGUUCAUAUCGACGGCGGUGUUUGGCACCUCGAUGUCGGCUCAUCACAUCCUGGGGCUGAAGUAGGUCCCAAGGGUAUGGCUGUUCGCCAUUUAAAGUGGUACGCGAGCUGGGUUUAGAACGUCGUGAGACAGUUCGGUCCCUAUCUGCCGUGGGCGCUGGAGAACUGAGGGGGGCUGCUCCUAGUACGAGAGGACCGGAGUGGACGCAUCACUGGUGUUCGGGUUGUCAUGCCAAUGGCACUGCCCGGUAGCUAAAUGCGGAAGAGAUAAGUGCUGAAAGCAUCUAAGCACGAAACUUGCCCCGAGAUGAGUUCUCCCUGACUCCUUGA
This 2787-nucleotide ribosomal RNA is filed under the name Escherichia coli. RNAcentral's name for it is "bacterial LSU rRNA". It matches the Rfam family "Bacterial large subunit ribosomal RNA". Lineage: Bacteria; Pseudomonadati; Pseudomonadota; Gammaproteobacteria; Enterobacterales; Enterobacteriaceae. The record is from RNAcentral.